CUCACAAUACUCUUGAGCUUCAUCUCCUCGCCGCGACACAAAGAUGACCAUCCGCCACCUUGUCAGCACGCACGUUCUUCGCCCUCGAUGAUACACCUCAUCGUACAGCACUUCGGCUGUGAUGUACCUCCACUGCAACAGAGCACCACACAGACGAGCACUUGGACACAACCACGACUCACAGACGCUGACGACCUGGACGUACAUACGCAGCUUGACCC
RNAcentral lists this long non-coding RNA (221 nucleotides) under Brachypodium distachyon (stiff brome). RNAcentral's name for it is "long non-coding RNA (BDIS_LNC004884)". The record is from RNAcentral. Lineage: Eukaryota; Viridiplantae; Streptophyta; Magnoliopsida; Poales; Poaceae.